UUCAACCUAAGAACCUUAAGUACUAAAAACAUAAACUUGUCUUUAGAGUAAUUCAACCAAGGAACAGCUUGUUUGAAUCAGGACACAACCUUGACCACAGGAUAAUGAAUUCCCCAGAAAACAACUAAGUGGGCCUAAAAGCAGCCACCUAACAAAAGCGUUAAAGCUUCACUGUCUUCCAAUGAAUACCUCACACUUCACAGACUCCUUCAAUAGUACCGAGUACAUCUAUAUUUUAUAGAAAAUUUUAUGUUAAAACUAGUAACAAGAAGUCAUUCUUCUCCUCAAUGCAAGUAUACCCCAGCAAGGACCCACCACUGGAAAUUAACAAACCAGAGCAGAAACCUAACAAGAAAAAUCUCCUUAAUAACCUGUUAACCUAACACAAGAGCAUCCCAAGAAAGAUUAAAAGAAAAAGAAGGAAUUCGGCAAACUCACGCCCCGCCUGUUUACCAAAAACAUCGCCUCUUGAGUUAUAUAAGAGGUCCAGCCUGCCCAGUGACUUUGUUCAACGGCCGCGGUAUCCUAACCGUGCGAAGGUAGCGUAAUCACUUGUUCUUUAAAUAAGGACUAGUAUGAAAGGCAUCACGAGGGCAAAACUGUCUCCUUUUUCUAAUCAGUGAAACUAAUCUCCCCGUGAAGAAGCGGGGAUAUCAUUAUAAGACGAGAAGACCCUUUGGAGCUUUAAAUUGAACGCCACUUAUAUUUUUAUUUUAAUUUCCGAAAACCAACAAAUAUCAUAACCCCUGGCUGUAAAUUUUAGGUUGGGGCGACCGCGGAGAAAAAUUCAUCCUCCACAUUGUUAAGAACCAUCUUAAACAAAAAGCAACAACUUUAUGUAUCAGUAAAAUUGACAUCUAUUGACCCAUUAUUUGAUCAACGAACCAAGUUACCCUAGGGAUAACAGCGCCAUCCACUUUAAGAGCUCAUAUCGACAAGUGGGCUUACGACCUCGAUGUUGGAUCAGGGUAUCCAAGUGGUGCAGCAGCUACUUAAGGUUCGUUUGUUCAACGAUUAAAACCCUACGUGAUCUGAGUUCAGACCGGAGUAAUCCAGGUCAGUUUCUAUCUAUAAUAAGUUACCUCUAGUACGAAAGGACCGAAGUAACAUGGCCUAUGCAAAAGUAAGCCAUACCAAAUUACUUUUGAAAUCAACUUAACAAGUAAUUCACACUACCUUCCUCUAGAAAAGAGAAGUUGAUGUAGCAUAACCAGGCGAUGCAAAAGACCUAA
This 1232-nucleotide ribosomal RNA is filed under the name Lynchius flavomaculatus (yellow-spotted Andes frog). RNAcentral's name for it is "partial large subunit ribosomal RNA". It matches the Rfam family "Bacterial large subunit ribosomal RNA", at positions 934 to 2925 of the family's 2925-position model. The record is from RNAcentral. Lineage: Eukaryota; Metazoa; Chordata; Amphibia; Anura; Strabomantidae.